ACUCCUACGGGAGGCAGCAGUGGGGGAUAUUGCACAAUGGAGGAAACUCUGAUGCAGCGACGCCGCGUGAGUGAAGAAGUAUUUCGGUAUGUAAAGCUCUAUCAGCAGGGAAGAAAGGCUCGCAAGAGAGAUGACGGUACCUGAGUAAGAAGCUCCGGCUAAAUACGUGCCAGCAGCCGCGGUAAUACGUAUGGAGCAAGCGUUAUCCGGAUUUACUGGGUGUAAAGGGAGCGCAGACGGAUAUGCAAGUCUGAAGUGAAACCCCACGGCUCAACCGUGGGCUUGCUUUGGAAACUGUAGAUCUAGAGUACUGGAGAGGUAAGCGGAAUUCCUGGUGUAGCGGUGAAAUGCGUAGAUAUCAGGAAGAACAUCGGCGGCGAAGGCGGCUUACUGGACAGCAACUGACGUUGAGGCUCGAAGGCGUGGGGAGCAAACAGGAUUAGAUACCCUUGUAGUCCU
Molecule: ribosomal RNA, 459 nt
Filed under: uncultured bacterium
Lineage: Bacteria
Description: bacterial SSU rRNA
Rfam family: Bacterial small subunit ribosomal RNA
Source: RNAcentral